Molecule: long non-coding RNA, 1362 nt
Filed under: Heterocephalus glaber (naked mole-rat)
Lineage: Eukaryota; Metazoa; Chordata; Mammalia; Rodentia; Bathyergidae
Description: lncRNA (ENSHGLG00100046347.1)
Source: RNAcentral
AUUCCAACAAAUGGUAAAAUAGAUUUCUUAAUCUGUCCCUGUGUCUUGAGAGUCAGGCCCGACUGACAGGCUGAGCGCUGCUCCGGUCCACAAGAGUCCUCAGUCACAGCAGCUGGGAGAGCUCUCUGGCAAAUGUGCAAACGUGCUUCUCGUCUCUGAUCCUUACCUAAGGAAGGGAGACACACAGCCUGCGUUUAUCAGGUGUACAUUUGCAAAUCGUUGCUUGAUGUACAUAAGAAUCUGGAAUGUAGAGAACACGCCAAAUCAGCCCGCUGUAGACAGGCAGGUCUGCGCAUGCCCUACCGAGGUCCUGAGUCCCACAGAAGAUGCCAAAUCACCCUGCUGCAGACAGGUAGGUCUGCUCACACCCCACCGAGGUCUCCAGAUGUGUGGAAUAAGCCGAAUCAGCCCGCUGCAGACAGGAAGGUCUGUGCAUGCCCUACUGAGGUCCUGAGUCCCGCGGAAGACACCGAAUCACCCCGCUGCAGACAGGCAGCCACCUGGUUCCACACUACAAAGAGGCAGAGGACACCAGACCACCAGACCAAGGUACUGCGUCCUGCUGCUCCCGGCCCAGAGGAAGGGGCUUCCAGGCCACCAUCGCUCUCACUGCUCCCAGCCCACAGGAAAGGGCCUUUGGGUCACCAUCCCUACCACUGCUCCUGGCCCCUGUCCCACCUCUCCCAGCUCAGAGGAGGUAAUCCAUGCAGGGGCUAACAGCCCCCCGUGUGAGUUGAAAUGAGAAAACAUGUAAAUAAGUCUCAAAACCAGACUUCCAGAUCACCUACAGCAACCACAAAGGGAAAUGAGAUGGAACACUUUGAUACUCAACCACCUGGACCCACUGAACUGGCAACAAAAGGGGAUCUGGAAAAAAUGAAAUCAGAAAUAAUUUCUCAGAUAACAGGAGAAAUUGUGCCCCUAGUGCAAGACAUGAUUAAUAAAUCUAGAGAGGAGCUCAGGAACAUGAUGGAAUCCCAACACAGGAAACAAAUGGAAUCCAUAAAACAGAUGCAAAUAGAUUUCCAGGAGAUGAAAAAUUCCAUUGAAAGUCUACAUAGCAGAAUGAGCCAAUGUGAGGACAGAAUUUCAGAUAUAGAAGAUAAGAUUGCAAUUAGUGACCAGGAAAAGAAAAAUUGCUUCAAAAUUAUAAGGGAACAUAAGAAAUCAAACCAAAAGCUGCUAGAUGAUGCAAAGGAGAAUAACAUAAGACUGAUUGGAGUCAAUGAAGAAACAGGAGAGAGUGGAGAUGACAUAAAAAAUCUCUUCACAGAAAUAAUGGCAGAAAACUUCCCAAGCAGGGGAAAAGAGCUUGACAUACAGAUAAGUGAGGCAUAUAGGACUCCAAAUAGCCUUGAUCAA